RNAcentral lists this ribosomal RNA (497 nucleotides) under uncultured bacterium. RNAcentral describes it as "partial 16S ribosomal RNA". It matches the Rfam family "Bacterial small subunit ribosomal RNA", at positions 28 to 507 of the family's 1533-position model. The record is from RNAcentral.
GAUGAACGCUGGCGGCGUGCCUAAUACAUGCAAGUCGAGCGAACAGACGAGGAGCUUGCUCCUCUGACGUUAGCGGCGGACGGGUGAGUAACACGUGGAUAACCUACCUAUAAGACUGGGAUAACUUCGGGAAACCGGAGCUAAUACCGGAUAAUAUAUUGAACCGCAUGGUUCAAUAGUGAAAGACGGUUUUGCUGUCACUUAUAGAUGGAUCCGCGCCGCAUUAGCUAGUUGGUAAGGUAACGGCUUACCAAGGCAACGAUGCGUAGCCGACCUGAGAGGGUGAUCGGCCACACUGGAACUGAGACACGGUCCAGACCCCUACGGGAGGCAGCAGUAGGGAAUCUUCGGCAAUGGGCGAAAGCCUGACGGAGCAACGCCGCGUGAGUGAUGAAGGUCUUCGGAUCGUAAAACUCUGUUAUUAGGGAAGAACAAAUGUGUAAGUAACUAUGCACGUCUUGACGGUACCUAAUCAGAAAGCCACGGCUAACUACGUG